RNAcentral lists this ribosomal RNA (484 nucleotides) under uncultured Flavobacteriaceae bacterium. RNAcentral describes it as "bacterial SSU rRNA". It matches the Rfam family "Bacterial small subunit ribosomal RNA", at positions 28 to 505 of the family's 1533-position model. Lineage: Bacteria; Pseudomonadati; Bacteroidota; Flavobacteriia; Flavobacteriales; Flavobacteriaceae. The record is from RNAcentral.
GAUGAACGCUAGCGGCAGGCCUAACACAUGCAAGUCGAGGGGUAACAGAGAGAAGCUUGCUUUUUUGCUGACGACCGGCGCACGGGUGCGUAACGCGUAUACAAUCUGCCUUGUACUGGGGUAUAGCCUUUAGAAAUGAAGAUUAACACCCCAUAGUAUGUAAAUUUCGCAUGGAUUUUACAUUAAAGGUUACGGUACAAGAUGAGUAUGCGUCCUAUUAGUUAGUUGGUGUGGUAACGGCACACCAAGACAGCGAUAGGUAGGGGCCCUGAGAGGGGGAUCCCCCACACUGGUACUGAGACACGGACCAGACUCCUACGGGAGGCAGCAGUGAGGAAUAUUGGACAAUGGAGGGAACUCUGAUCCAGCCAUGCCGCGUGCAGGAAGACUGCCCUAUGGGUUGUAAACUGCUUUUAUACGGGAAGAAACAUCGCUACGUGUAGCGACUUGACGGUACCGUAAGAAUAAGGAUCGGCUAACUCCG